CUCCUGGCACUCAGGUGCAUCAGUUCAUUGUCCUCAUGCCAGUGGUGGGGGCAUCCCUAAUGCACAGAGCCUGAAAAAUGCUCAGGUGUACCUGUAGUGUGUGAGAGGAAGGAGGCUGGCAAAGGUGGGCGUGGCCACCUCGCCAGGUGUGGGUCUUGAGGGAACUUCUGUCUCCUUUCAGGUGGCACAGAAUGUGUCCUUGUACACAGGCGACCCCAGCCUGGGGCUGAGCUGUUUGAGGCAGCUGGAGACAUCUUCUUCAAUGGGGCCUGGGAGCGGGAGAAAGCCGUGUCCUUCUACCGGGGACCGGGUCCUGGCCCUGGCCCUGGCAGUGACUAUGGGCAACUGCAAGGCGGGAGCUGCAGCUACAGCUGUGCAAAAAAGCUGGUGGCACUCCUGCCACCCUGGAGGAGCCCAGGAGGCUUGGGAGUUUGCCUACAUGGCCCUAGCACUCAGCAUCACUCUGGGUAAGUCCCCUGAGCCCCCACCCUGCCAGGACCCACACUUUGCCAGAGCCCAGCCUCCAGGUCUGCAGGGCAGGAGCUGAAACAGCUGCUGGAUUUUCCUGGUCUCCGUCCAGGCAGGCAGAUCUGCCCAACUGGCUUCCCUAUCCGGCUGUGGGGCACAGCCCGAGGUCUCUCACGCAGGUGCAGAGCUCCCUGCCUGACUGAGCUCUGCUUCCUCUGCCUGUUCCUGCUGCUGACCACAAGGGCCGCCCAGUGUGCCCUCUGCCUUCCAGACAUGCCAGGCAUCUCAUUGGUCCCUGUGCCAGGCUGAGUGGCACAUUCCCUUUCUCUUGUGCCCUUCCCAAUCAUCAACCACACGCUCUCUGGCUGAUAAAAUCCCAGUUCCCCUUCCAGCAGUCUGCCCCUUAAGGCCGGGCAUCCCCUGGUGCUGUGCCAGGGUCGUCUGUCCCCCUCCAGAGACAGGGAACCCUAGGCAGGCCACAUGCCCCAGCGCCUUGUGCCCCGUGGCCCAUUACACAGUAGGUGUGCAGCUGACUCCCCAAGGUAGGGGGCUCUGAUUGCACACCAGGAGGAGUCGGAUGUCACGUCUGUGGGUUGCCUGGAGCCGGGGUGCCCAGGAGCACCUGGACUGCAUGGCUUUUGGGCUCCUGGUUAAAACCAGUGAGCAAAGGCAGGUGGCUCUGUGUAGACAGAACUGGGCCAUCCAAGUCCGACUUUCCAAAGCCUCACAGUAGACAGGGGCAGGCCUUAUUAGUUCUGCUUUGCACAUGGGAAAGUGAGUCUGGGAACCUGGAAGGGACUGGCCAGAGCUGCCCAGGUGACCACAGGUGCCUGGAGGCAAGCCAGGCAUGCAGCCCGGGGUCUGCAUACCUGCUCCUGAGGGGCCUGAGCCCUCCCUGCCCCAGGGAGCCACGUCCUCACACCUGCCCUUUGGCCUGCACCCAGGGGACCAGUGAACGAGCGCAUGGCCUACCACGGCUGGCCGCCCUGCACCACCGGCUGGGCCAUGGCAAGC
This 1482-nucleotide long non-coding RNA is filed under the name Macaca mulatta (Rhesus monkey). RNAcentral describes it as "lncRNA (ENSMMUG00000060587.1)". The record is from RNAcentral. Lineage: Eukaryota; Metazoa; Chordata; Mammalia; Primates; Cercopithecidae.